UUGAAUUAAUGAUUUUAUCGUACCAAGAUUUUAAUAACAUAUAAAAUCCGAAUGAUAUCUUUUCACAACUAGCAACAAGGAACUCUACUUUACAAACGUCAAAAUUUGAUUUGCUUCUGUCAAAAAUCUUAUUAGCCCCUGGGCUACUCAAAAAAUUAUUCACCACCUAAAAGUCAUAUUUUUACAAACUCUACAACUUUGCUAUCAAUCAGCACACAGCCUAAGUUCUUCAUUGAGUGGAAAUUUUACAUUCACUUAACGCGUGGACAAAACGUUUUUUAACUUGGGCCAACGUGAUAAAAAAAAAAGAAUUUUCGUUGCAUUUUCGUUCAUUGUCCUUAAAUAAAUUGUUAGCAAAAAUAGGUAUUCUCUUUUGUGAUAACACUACGCAAACAACACAAUUUAUUAAAAUAAUGCUGGUGGUGAAACAUAUGAUAGGAGAUUUGUCUUUUUAUUGCAAAAACACUUUUUUGAGGAUUUCUACAAUGAGGGUAACAAUGUUUUGUUAAAACUUUCCACAGAGAACGAUCUUAUAUAACAAAACUUUACAUAAUAUUUAUGAACAAAAUGUAAUGAACCCCGAUCAUUACAUUUAUGAAGGAAAAUUCUCUCUAUGUAUGGAAAAGUUUUUCUUUUAAUUGUUGUCGUUUUUGAGUCAGUGAAGUAAAAACUGUAAAAAAAGCAUCCCAAGCUGACUAUCGCCUGUACGAAGCGUUAAUACUUGGUAAAUAAAUUGCAAAUUGAAGCCGUCUAUCAAUGGAUCAAGAUUUAUACAAAAGGCAGCUGAGUACAAAUUUUUCACGCGAAGUUCCCAAUUGACAAAAAGUGCACUCAAUAUUUUUGUCUGCUACUACCUUUAAAUGAAUUUAUCUUGCGUAGUACCACCCUUUAUUUGUAUAAAAGUUUUGCGGAAUUUUUUUUUUUUGAUAAUACGAAAUGCACGCUACCUCGCUUAUUAAUUUAUUUUGCAGACAUAUCCGAAAUGUUGUAAGCAAAUACAAGAGAAAAAUAUUCUAGAGCUAAUGUA
Stomoxys calcitrans (stable fly) is the source of this 1027-nucleotide long non-coding RNA. RefSeq lists it as uncharacterized. The record is from RefSeq and is a predicted model, not a curated record. The transcript has 2 exons. Lineage: Eukaryota; Metazoa; Arthropoda; Insecta; Diptera; Muscidae.